UACAGAGGGGGCAAGCGUUGUUCGGAAUCACUGGGCGUAAAGCGCGUGUAGGCGGUUUCCUAAGUCAGGUGGGAAAUCCCCCGGCUUAACCGGGGAAGUGCGCCUGAAACUGGGAGGCUUGAGUAUCGGAGAGGAAAGGGGAAUUCCCGGUGUAGAGGUGAAAUGCGUAGAUAUCGAGAGGAACACCUGCGGCGAAGGCGGGUUGCUGGGCCGACACUGACGCUGAUGCGCGAAAGCCAGGGGAGCGAAUGGG
This 253-nucleotide ribosomal RNA is filed under the name uncultured bacterium. RNAcentral describes it as "partial 16S ribosomal RNA". It matches the Rfam family "Bacterial small subunit ribosomal RNA", at positions 524 to 776 of the family's 1533-position model. The record is from RNAcentral.